CCUGAGUACGACGGAGCACGUGAAAUUCCGUCGGAAUCUGGGAGGACCAUCUCCUAAGGCUAAAUACUCUCUAGUGACCGAUAGUGAACCAGUACCGUGAGGGAAAGGUGAAAAGUACCCCGGAAGGGGAGUGAAAGAGAACUUGAAACCGUGUGCUUACAAGUAGUCAGAGCCCGUUAAUGGGUGAUGGCGUGCCUUUUGUAGAAUGAACCGGCGAGUUACGAUCUGAUGCAAGGUUAAGCAGAAAAUGUGGAGCCGUAGCGAAAGCGAGUCUGAAUAGGGCGAAUGAGUAUUUGGUCGUAGACCCGAAACCAGGUGAUCUACCCUUGGUCAGGUUGAAGUUCAGGUAACACUGAAUGGAGGACCGAACCGACUUACGUUGAAAAGUGAGCGGAUGAACUGAGGGUAGCGGAGAAAUUCCAAUCGAACUUGGAGAUAGCUGGUUCUCUCCGAAAUAGCUUUAGGGCUAGCCUCAAGUGAUGAUUAUUGGAGGUAGAGCACUGUUUGGACGAGGGGCCCCUCUCGGGUUACCGAAUUCAGACAAACUCCGAAUGCCAAAUAAUUUAACUUGGGAGUCAGAAUGUGGGUGAUAAGGUCCAUAUUCGAAAGGGAAACAGCCCAGACCACCAGCUAAGGUCCCAAAAUAUAUGUUAAGUGGAAAAGGAUGUGGCGUUGCCCAGACAACUAGGAUGUUGGCUUAGAAGCAGCCAUCAUUUAAAGAGUGCGUAAUAGCUCACUAGUCGAGUGACACUGCGCCGAAAAUGUACCGGGGCUAAACAUAUUACCGAAGCUGUGGAUUGUCCUUUGGACAAUGGUAGGAGAGCGUUCUAAGGGCGUUGAAGCAUGAUCGCAAGGACAUGUGGAGCGCUUAGAAGUGAGAAUGCCGGUGUGAGUAGCGAAAGACGGGUGAGAAUCCCGUCCACCGAUUGACUAAGGUUUCCAGAGGAAGGCUCGUCCGCUCUGGGUUAGUCGGGUCCUAAGCUGAGGCCGACAGGCGUAGGCGAUGGAUAACAGGUUGAUAUUCCUGUACCACCAUUAUUCGUUUUAAGCGAUGGGGGGACGCAGUAGGAUAGGCGAAGCGUGCUGUUGGAGUGCACGUCCAAGCAGUGAGAUUGAGUGUUAGGCAAAUCCGGCACUCUUAAGAUUGAGCUGUGAUGGGGAGAGGAACUUGUUCCUCGAGUCGUUGAUUUCACACUGCCGAGAAAAGCCUCUAGCUAGAAUAACGGUGCCCGUACCGCAAACCGACACAGGUAGUCAAGAUGAGAAUUCUAAGGUGAGCGAGCGAACUCUCGUUAAGGAACUCGGCAAAAUGACCCCGUAACUUCGGGAGAAGGGGUGCUCUUUGAGGUUCACGCUUCGAAGAGCCGCAGUGAAUAGGCCCAAGCGACUGUUUAUCAAAAACACAGGUCUCUGCUAAACCGUAAGGUGACGUAUAGGGGCUGACGCCUGCCCGGUGCUGGAAGGUUAAGAGGAGUGGUUAGCGCAAGCGAAGCUACGAAUCGAAGCCCCAGUAAACGGCGGCCGUAACUAUAACGGUCCUAAGGUAGCGAAAUUCCUUGUCGGGUAAGUUCCGACCCGCACGAAAGGCGUAACGAUUUGGGCACUGUCUCAACGAGAGACUCGGUGAAAUCAUAGUACCGGUGAAGAUGCCGGUUACCCGCGACAGGACGGAAAGACCCCGUGGAGCUUUACUGUAGCCUGAUAUUGAAAUUCGGUACAGUUUGUACAGGAUAGGUAG
This 1738-nucleotide ribosomal RNA is filed under the name Staphylococcus pseudintermedius. RNAcentral's name for it is "partial 23S ribosomal RNA". It matches the Rfam family "Bacterial large subunit ribosomal RNA", at positions 407 to 2150 of the family's 2925-position model. The record is from RNAcentral. Lineage: Bacteria; Bacillati; Bacillota; Bacilli; Caryophanales; Staphylococcaceae.